Molecule: transfer RNA, 72 nt
Filed under: Schistocerca americana (American grasshopper)
Lineage: Eukaryota; Metazoa; Arthropoda; Insecta; Orthoptera; Acrididae
Description: tRNA-Thr
Rfam family: tRNA
About the family: Transfer RNA (tRNA) molecules are approximately 80 nucleotides in length. Their secondary structure includes four short double-helical elements and three loops (D, anti-codon, and T loops).
Source: RNAcentral
GCCUCCUUAGCUCUGGGGCAGGGCACUGGUCUUGUAAACCAGGGGUCGUGAGUUCGAUUCUCACAGGGGGCA